CCCUUAGAUGUUCUGGGCCGCACGCGCGCUACACUGAUGCAUUCAACGAGUCUAAAACCUGCUCUGAUAGGGGUGGGUAAUCUUUUGAAUGUGCAUCGUGAUUGGGAUAGAUGAUUGCAAUUUUUCAUCUUCAACGAGGAAUGCCUAGUAAACGCAAGUCAUCAGCUUGCAUUAAUUACGUCCCUGCCCUUUGUACACACCGCCCGUCGCUCCUACCGAUUGAAUGAUCCGAUGAAUAUCAUGGAUUGAGGAUUAUAGCAGGUUCGCCUGUCUUGAUCUUCGAGAAGUGAAGUAAAUCUUAUCAUUUAGAGGAAGGAGAAGUCGUAACA
This 329-nucleotide ribosomal RNA is filed under the name uncultured eukaryote. RNAcentral describes it as "partial 18S ribosomal RNA". It matches the Rfam family "Eukaryotic small subunit ribosomal RNA", at positions 1470 to 1796 of the family's 1831-position model. The record is from RNAcentral.